UGCGGUUCUAUUUUGUUGGUUUCUAGGAUCGCCGUAAUGAUUAAUAGGAACGGUCGGGGGGCAUUAGUAUUCCGUUGCUAGAGGUGAAAUUCUUAGAUUUACGGAAGACUAACAACUGCGAAAGCAUUUGCCAAGGACGUUUUCAUUGAUCAAGAACGAAGGUUAGGGGAUCAAAAACGAUUAGAUACCGUCGUAGUCUCUUCAGUAAACUAUGCCGUCUUUGAAUGGGGAAGCGAUUUAAGUUUGAAGAGCUGUAAAAAGGUUUGGAAAACUAAUGUCCAUCUCCGCGCAAUAAAAGAAAUUAAGAGAUUUUGGGUUCCGGGGGAGUAUUUUCGCAAGGAAGAAACUUAAAGGAAUUGACGGAAGGGCACCACCAGGUGUGGAGCUUGCGGCUUAAUUUGACUCAACACGGGGAAUCUUACCAGUCCAGAAAGCGUGAGGA
Molecule: ribosomal RNA, 442 nt
Filed under: uncultured eukaryote
Lineage: Eukaryota
Description: bacterial SSU rRNA
Rfam family: Eukaryotic small subunit ribosomal RNA
Source: RNAcentral